Molecule: ribosomal RNA, 505 nt
Filed under: uncultured delta proteobacterium
Lineage: Bacteria; Deltaproteobacteria
Description: bacterial SSU rRNA
Rfam family: Bacterial small subunit ribosomal RNA
Source: RNAcentral
AACAAACGCUGGCGGCGUGCCUAACACAUGCAAGUCGAACGAGGAAUUUCCUGCUUGCAGGAGAAAGUAAAGUGGCGCACGGGUGAGUAACGCGUGGGUAACCUACCUUUGAAUCUGGAAUAACCAGCCGAAAGGCUGACUAAUACCGGAUACGGUUUUUUAGGCUUCGGUCUUUUAAAUUAAAGGUGACCUCUUCAUGAAAGUUGCCGUUCAUAGAUGGGCCCGCGUACCAUUAGCUUGUUGGUGGGGUAAUGGCCUACCAAGGCGACGAUGGUUAGCUGGUCUGAGAGGAUGAUCAGCCACACUGGAACUGGAACACGGUCCAGACUCCUACGGGAGGCAGCAGUGAGGAAUUUUGCGCAAUGGGGGAAACCCUGACGCAGCAACGCCGCGUGAGCGAAGAAGGCCUUCGGGUCGUAAAGCUCUGUCUAGUGGGAAAAAAAUCUUUUGAUCAAUAGUCAAAAGACUUGAUGGUACCACUGGAGGAAGCACCGGCUAACUCCGU